GAGGAAUAUUGGUCAAUGGACGCAAGUCUGAACCAGCCAUGCCGCGUGCAGGAUGACGGCUCUAUGAGUUGUAAACUGCUUUUGUACGAGGGUAAACGCAGAUACGUGUAUCUGUCUGAAAGUAUCGUACGAAUAAGGAUCGGCUAACUCCGUGCCAGCAGCCGCGGUAAUACGGAGGAUUCAAGCGUUAUCCGGAUUUAUUGGGUUUAAAGGGUGCGUAGGCGGUUUGAUAAGUUAGAGGUGAAAUUUCGGGGCUCAACCCUGAACGUGCCUCUAAUACUGUUGAGCUAGAGAGUAGUUGCAGUAGGCGGAAUGUAUGGUGUAGCGGUGAAAUGCUUAGAGAUCAUACAGAACACCGAUUGCGAAGGCAGCUUACCAAACUAUAUCUGACGUUGAGGCACGAAAGCGUGGGGAGCAAACAGGAUUAGAUACCCUGGUAGUCCACGCAGUAAACGAUGAUAACUCGUUGUCGGCGAUACACAGUCGGUGACUAAGCGAAAGCGAUAAGUUAUCCACCUGGGGAGUACGUUCGCAAGAAUGAAACUCAAAGGAAUUGACGGGGGCCCGCACAAGCGGAGGAACAUGUGGUUUAAUUCGAUGAUACGCGAGGAACCUUACCCGGGCUUGAAAGUUAGCGACGAUUCUUGAAAGAGGAUUUCCCUUCGGGGCGCGAAACUAGGUGCUGCAUGGUUGUCGUCAGCUCGUGCCGUGAGGUGUCGGGUUAAGUCCCAUAACGAGCGCAACCCCUACCGUUAGUUGCCAUCAGGUGAAGCUGGGCACUCUGGCGGGACUGCCGGUGUAAGCCGAGAGGAAGGUGGGGAUGACGUCAAAUCAGCACGGCCCUUACGUCCGGGGCUACACACGUGUUACAAUGGUAGGUACAGAGGGCAGCUACCCAGCGAUGGGAUGCGAAUCUCGAAAGCCUAUCUCAGUUCGGAUUGGAGGCUGAAACCCGCCUCCAUGAAGUUGGAUUCGCUAGUAAUCGCGCAUCAGCCAUGGCGCGGUGAAUACGUUCCCG
RNAcentral lists this ribosomal RNA (1018 nucleotides) under uncultured organism. RNAcentral describes it as "bacterial SSU rRNA". It matches the Rfam family "Bacterial small subunit ribosomal RNA", at positions 356 to 1376 of the family's 1533-position model. The record is from RNAcentral.